This 662-nucleotide ribosomal RNA is filed under the name uncultured bacterium. RNAcentral describes it as "bacterial SSU rRNA". It matches the Rfam family "Bacterial small subunit ribosomal RNA", at positions 8 to 659 of the family's 1533-position model. The record is from RNAcentral.
AGAGUUUGAUCAUGGCUCAGAUUGAACGCUGGCGGCAGGCCUAACACAUGCAAGUCGAGCGGCAGCACAGGGGAACUUGUUCCCUGGGUGGCGAGCGGCGGACGGGUGAGUAAUGGCUGGGAACCUGCCCUGAUGUGGGGGAUAACAGUUGGAAACGACUGCUAAUACCGCAUGAUGUCUACGGACCAAAGAGGAGGACCUUCGGGCUUCUCGCGUCAGGAUGGGCCCAGUUGGGAUUAGCUAGUUGGUAGGGUAAUGGCCUACCAAGGCGACGAUCCCUAGCUGGUUUGAGAGGAUGAUCAGCCACACUGGAACUGAGACACGGUCCAGACUCCUACGGGAGGCAGCAGUGGGGAAUAUUGCACAAUGGGCGCAAGCCUGAUGCAGCCAUGCCGCGUGUGUGAAGAAGGCCUUCGGGUUGUAAAGCACUUUCAGCAGUGAGGAAGGUGGUGUAGUUAAUACCUGCAUCAUUUGACGUUAGCUGCAGAAGAAGCACCGGCUAACUCCGUGCCAGCAGCCGCGGUAAUACGGAGGGUGCGAGCGUUAAUCGGAAUUACUGGGCGUAAAGUGCAUGCAGGCGGUCUGUUAAGCAAGAUGUGAAAGCCCCGGGCUUAACCUGGGAACCGCAUUUUGAACUGGCAGGCUAGAGUCUUGUAGAGGGG